Molecule: long non-coding RNA, 1985 nt
Organism: Wasmannia auropunctata (little fire ant)
Lineage: Eukaryota; Metazoa; Arthropoda; Insecta; Hymenoptera; Formicidae
Exons: 2
Source: RefSeq, a predicted model, not a curated record
UGAUAGAACGAAAACAAUCAACAUGUAGUUGUUAGCCUAUGGCGUGAGAAAAUACGACGUUACUGUAAUUAAUUGUGUAUAUGGGCUUGAUUGUAAAAUUGAUACGUGAACUGAACACAGGUGCAGCUUCAGGUAUCUGUAGAUGAUGUACUCCGACAAUCGUCCGUCGCUCAGUUCGGCGAAUUUUAACGCUCAUCCAACAGGAAAACAAACGUGCGGAAAACGCGGACUCCGAUGCGCUCCGAAACUUGCGACGAAGAUCACCGCGACACGUGACUAUAAUAUGCGAAUCAAACGAAACAUAGAGAAAAUAAAAUAAUAGGACGCGAAAACAGUCACAGUUUCUUAUCUGUGUAUUGGAAGUAUAUUUCUAUACUGUAAUAGUAUAAUAAAACGCGAUCAGUUAUUUGUGUCGCGAAUUUUAAUAUAAUUUUAAUAUAAUUUUAAUUUCGAUCGUAAUAUAAUGGCAUAUGUUUAAUAAUUGAGAUUAUCACGAUUGCACGAGCGUGUGGAUGCAAUUUCAAAUGUGUUUUCUGUACUACAUCGUAUAAAACUGGCGAUUUAUUCUAUAAUUCGAAUAUUCCUUGAUUCACGAUUAAUUAAAGAGUUUUAAAAUAAUUGAUGCAACUUCAAAUAUAAUAUCUACGUCGCAAUGAGAUAUUGUCGAUCUAUUCUAAAUUAAUUAUUAAUUUUUUUUAAACACGAUUACUCAAACUUUCGUAAAUUUAAGACACUAAAUCGAGCAUUCGGUUUCAUCCAGAUGAGUAUGUACAAUUAUAGAAAGUACAGAAUUUUUGGACUGGAGUUGCGUUCAUAAAAAUUCACUAUCAGCAUUGAAAAUUUAUAAUUUACGUGCACUAUAUAUAGAUUUUCAACGCUGGCAGUGAAUUUCGAGAAUACAGCCUGGAUAUGAAACUGUGUAUGCUUGUUAUAAUCAAAGUUCAUUGGAAUAAAAAUAAAGAUCGCAGUAUCUGAUAUUUUCCAACGUAACGUCCAUCGUUUGAUUCGACAUUCUUGAUCGUUUGCAGAAUUCGAUCUCGAAAAAACAUGUGUGAAGAAUGCGGAUCGAUUGUGUGCGAUUUCCGAAAAUGACUAUAAUAUGUGAUUAGACGAUUCAAAUAAGACAUACAGUACGCCGAACUGGAAGUAAAAAUAAUUAAGCCUACAUUAUCGCGCACUUCUUAUGGAUCAUCAAUGAAUAUAAGAUAAUAAUAAGACACGUUCGAAUUUUUCGCUUAUUUUGACGCACAAUUAAUAUUUCAAUCGUAAUAAUUUCGCCAGUAUAUUAAUGCGUGUGCGACCUGAAGUGUCUCGUCCUGACACGCUAUUCUAAUUCCAGUAUUUUCUAGAAUGUAAUUAAUUGAAGGAUCUCGCAUAAAUUUCAGAUAGAAAAUCGAACGUUCAGAUUUUAUGUAACGAAUAAUUAACGUCUUUCGUCGAAUGUCUAAUAUCAAAUUUUCUGGAAUAUGUAAUAUCCUCUGAAUAAAAUAUGAAUAUAUUUUCAUAAAUUGUCGGUAAAAAAGAAUAUUGAAGACCGUGUAAAAUUCUAAAUACAUAUGAGAGAUAUAUUCAUAUUUAUUGAAGAUGCAAUAUCGUUCACAAUUAUCUUAUUUGACUCGCACGAUCUGUUAUUUAAUUCCAUCUUGUCGUGAAGUAUAGCGGAAUUUUAUUAACUUAUUAAUUAAUGAAUUUUACUUAUACAAAUAAGUCAUAUUUUUCACCAUCAUUCUUCUAAAAUAAUUCGGUUUUUUUUUAUAUGAUAAGGUAAGAAUGACGCGCUAAUACAAUGAAUCGGAUAACUUAACGGGUCUUAACGAAUAAAGAACAAUCGGGCGUCGUGUACAUGAUAUAAAUAUAUUUAUGCGAAUAUUUCGUUACAUAAUCAUGUCUACAUAUUACGACACAUUACAGUGCUAAUAAAUGCUGUUAUUUUUAACUGGAUUCGUAGUGUAAAAGUUGAUUAAACCUUUUUUUUUUUGAUAAAA